Molecule: ribosomal RNA, 460 nt
Filed under: uncultured bacterium
Lineage: Bacteria
Description: partial 16S ribosomal RNA
Rfam family: Bacterial small subunit ribosomal RNA
Source: RNAcentral
CCUACGGGUGGCAGCAGUGAGGAAUAUUGGUCAAUGGGAGAGAUCCUGAACCAGCCAAGCCGCGUGAGGGAAGACGGCCCUAUGGGUUGUAAACCUCUUUUGUCGGGGAACAAAACCCGGCACGAGUCCCGCACUGCGUGUAUCCGACGAAAAAGGAUCCGCCAACUCCGUGCCAGCAGCCGCGGUAAUACGGGGGAUGCGAGCGUUAUCCGGAUUUAUUGGGUUUAAAGGGGGCGUAUGCCGGCUGUUAAGUCAGGUGUGAAAGUUUGCGGCUCAACCGGAACAUUGCAGUUGAUACUGGGAGUCUUGAGUGCAGCAGAGGUAGGCGGAAUGCGUGGUGUAGCGGUGAAAUGCUUAGAUAUCACGAAGAACUCCGAUUGCGAAGGCAGCUUACUGGACUGUAACUGACGCUGAGGCACGAAAGUGUGGGGAUCAAACAGGAUUAGAUACCCGAGUAGUC